GCUUAUUCUGCUUGGCGUGCGACGUGACAAAAGUCGUGUCGCAUGUGUCACCCGAUUCCCGUAGGCGGAUGCGGUGACAAGAGUCGGUGUGGGUGAACACCGAUGAACUCUCACCGCAUUCCCACAGUCGCUUCAGAUCGACAAAUGUCGCAUUCAAGUGACGUUUUGAUGUGAGGAUUGUCGUGACCUCGGGAGGAGUCGACAGCGAAGGAAAAACAUCAAAUUGGAGAAUGUGAUCGACCAAAAUAUGCAAAAAGGGACCUAUUCCUCAAGCUACCGCCGAGCAGUUGAAAAUCUCGACAGUUACCAUGAUUCUCCGGCGCAUGUUUCCGGCUUGAUUUCGGUGCGGAAGACGACCUUCUAUAUGCUUCUUGUGUGGCAAAGUGGGCAAAGUGGCUUUGGAAAAUAUCGGUCGGGUAGAGUGCAAAUUGUCGUCGCGGUAACCGAAGUUUCCCCGCACGCGAAAAUUGAUUUUUUCUCCCAAACCGUGCGUCAGGCAAAGUGCGCUGGAUAGAGGGCCAGAUCCGCUGCCCCGCGCACUGGCACUACGUCCGACGUUAGGUUUCACGUAUGGAUUUGAAAAAAAAACUCGAUUGUCGCGUGUGAGGAACUUCGGUUUCAGGGCUCAUUCAAAUAUUACGUAACGCAAAAUUUGACAAUUUUAGACCCCCUCCCUACCCCACGUAACAACUUUUGUAUGGAAAAUUUUGAAAUUUUGUAUGAAGCGUAACGCAUCGCUCGACCCCCUCCGUCCCCCCUUAGCGUUACGUAAUAUUUGAACGAACCCUCAACUGCGACGACAAUUUGCACUCUAGGGGAUUCUGGGGUAAUACGCACCACUUAAGGAAGAUGCGUCCAAAUGCAUAUAAAAAGGCAAUAAUUUAUUGAUUUAAUGCAUGCAAUCAUUGCAUAUACUUUCAUUCUAAGAGAAACCAAACAAAAUUUCAGCCUUAAUACAGUUCAGCUCUUGAAAAUAACGUUUUUUGUAAAGACUAACAUUACGGUUUCGUAUGUUUAUGCGGGGCAGUAUGCACCCUUGGUCGGGGUAAAAUGCACUACAACAAUGGAGCAGGAUGCACUCAAACAAAGGGGCAAGACGCACCACAACAUUGAGGCAAGAUGCACCGUCGAGUUUAGAAAUCUUUUUACUUCUUAUACAAAUUGCAUGUUUUUAAGAAUAAAUAAACAAAAUUACAAAAUUAUAAGGUUUUAAGACAAACAAUAGCUCAAUUUUGUUUGCGAUUACUUACAGAGCACUCAUAGAUAUUAUUACAGCUUGUUUUCUAUAGGUGCGUUUUGCCCCAACCAAUGGAGUGCAUAUUGCCCCAAUCAAUAGCAAAAAAUAAAAUAGUUUAAAAUAUAUAAUUUACGUAGAUUACUGUUUAAGUUAUUUUUCCUAUGCUUAGCAUUGCCCUCAAUAAACUGAAUAAACACAACAUCAUUAGAUGUUUGGUCGGUUUUCACCAUCAAAUCAUUCGACAAACGAUCGGGAAAAUUACAUCAGAAUCGUGCUUUUCGAUUUUAUUCAUUUUUCUCACUAAUUACGUAACGCAGAUAUGUAAAAUUUUCCAGAUGCUCAUUUAUUAAGACGUUCUAUAAGACUGAUAAGGUUUCAAAGCUCUAAAACCAAUAAUCCCUGAAAAACAAAGGGGGUGCGUUUUGCCUCGACAGUGCGUAUUACCCCAGAUGCCCCUACCCGAUAUUUUCCAAAGCCACUUGCAACACCAGAAGCAUAGAAGGUCGUCUUCCACCGAAACCAAUCCGGAAACAUGCGCCGGAGAAUCAUGGUAACUAUCAAGGCCAUUUUGAACUCACUGGCAGUUUUUGAAAAGAACAUCUGCUUUUAUGGAAAUUGAAAAGCUGCACCUCGAUUUCCCUGGAUUAUUUUGUGCUUUAUAUAGAGUAUCCCCUUCGCCAUAACCGCCCACCUGGAUCUAAACAUUUUCAGAAAAUGAUAUCCCUUAAUACAUUUUCUUCGAAAAUUGGAUAUUUAUUUUGUUAUAAUAAAUAUAAACAUGAAAUGAAAUACAUAUACAAAUCGAGGUUAUUUCAGUUUAUUGAGAAGCAACUUAGCGUCAGUUAUCCUUUUCUUUUUUAAAUUUAAUGACCGACGAUGCCUUCAAAAAUUCGUACGAGAACUUCGAAAAUGGAUUCGAUUUUUUUUUCUCGGAAGGAAUUCUUUCAGACUUUCUCUUGAUUAUUUUUCCAUGUAUUCUUUUGAGAUUGUUCAGGUAUUCCACCCGUGAUUCAUUCAGAAACUCCUGCAGAGAUUUCCUAACGGAUUUCUUAUGAAUUACUUCAAGGAUUCCAUCUGGAAUUUCUUAAGAGAUUCCUUCAUAUAUGUCUUCGAAAAAAAAUUCUGCGAAAAUUUCGUUUGAAAGAAUAGAUCGAAUUUUGGGGAAAUUCUCGAAUAACUGUUUCUUGAACUCCCAGGAUUCUGUAGGAAAUUCUUCCAGAUAUCCUCCAGGAUCCUUUUUAUCACUGAUUACGGUGAGUUUGUCCAGGAUUUCUCAAGGAGACCUUUCGAUAAUUCUUCCAGAAGUUCCUUAUGGGAUUUCUGCAGGAGUUUCAUCGGGAAUUCUUCAAGGAGUUCGACCAAGAAAUCUUUCAGGAAAUCCUCCGGUAGUUUCUGCAGGAGUUUCU
This is a long non-coding RNA of Aedes albopictus (Asian tiger mosquito), 2643 nucleotides long. RefSeq lists it as uncharacterized. NCBI's taxonomy places the organism in Eukaryota, Metazoa, Arthropoda, Insecta, Diptera, Culicidae. The record is from RefSeq and is a predicted model, not a curated record. The transcript is spliced from 2 exons.